RNAcentral lists this long non-coding RNA (2228 nucleotides) under Rattus norvegicus (Norway rat). RNAcentral describes it as "long non-coding RNA NONRATT026502". Lineage: Eukaryota; Metazoa; Chordata; Mammalia; Rodentia; Muridae. The record is from RNAcentral.
CACCCUUGUUCCCUGAGGUCUCUGGGCCUGAGCGCUGCUACAGGACAUAUUAGCGCUCAGUUUGGCCCUGUCCCUUCUGCCCCUAGUCGGGUGGCCGCGCUUGCCCCAGACCAACCAAACUUCGUUUAUACUGCCACUUUCUUGUGUUUGGGAAAUGCUAAAUUUUUUUUCUUUGAAAUUUUCUUUUUUCUUUUUUCUUUUUUUUCUUUUUAUUUUUUUCCUUUUUUCUUUUUUCUUUUUCUGUUUUUUAUUUUUUUGAUGACACCAUGCCUCUUGCUGUUGCUGCUGACAGCAGAAUUUGACCUGCUGGAACCCGUUGUGGCCUGUAUCUUUGUGUAUUACUGUAUUACUAUAUCGUCUGUGCAUAGAGGAGUAGAACUGUUAGACGUAGGACUCCGCGGGCUUAGCCAACAGUGUUGGGUAAGCCUGGCGAGGCGCAAUAGGAACUGCACUCAGUGCCCUAGAACAGCGGGGGCUGCUGUCAGCACUAGCUGCGAAGCCAAUUGCAAACCGCAGGGGAGAAGCUGGGCUUCAGAAAAGCCGGAGUACACCACACACACCCCCACCUCCCAGGCACCCCUCUUCCCCAUGGCAGCACUCAGCCUGGAGAAGGGUGAAUGUCACCCACUGUCCCCAACCUGCUGUGGGCCAUAGCCCCUCUACACACAGGCUUUGUCUGAAACCCAGCUCAACCCUGUGGCCGCCCUGAUACUGUUCAUCAUCCUGUUUUGUGUCACACGCCCUGCUACCUUGAUUCACUCUUCGUCGUUGGCUAGGUUUUGGAUUUAUUACUUUCGAGGACGAACAAUCAGUGGACCAGGCUGUCAACAUGCAUUUUCACGACAUCAUGGGCAAAAAAGUGGAGGUUAAACGGGCUGAACCUCGGGACAGCAAAAACCAAGCACCAGGACAGCCAGGAGCCAGCCAGUGGGGCAGCCGCGUGGCGCCCAGUGCAGCCAACGGCUGGGCGGGCCAGCCCCCGCCAACGUGGCAACAAGGAUAUGGCCCACAAGGAAUGUGGGUGCCAGCAGGACAGGCCAUUGGUGGCUAUGGCCCACCCCCUGCGGGCAGAGGAGCCCCGCCCCCGCCCCCACCCUUCACCUCCUACAUUGUGUCCACACCUCCUGGAGGCUUCCCCCCACCACAGGGCUUCCCACAGGGCUACGGCGCUCCACCACAGUUCAGUUUUGGCUACGGUCCUCCGCCCCCACCCCCUGAUCAGUUCGCCCCUCCAGGGGUCCCUCCUCCACCUGCCACCCCAGGGGCUGCCCCACUGGCCUUCCCACCACCUCCGUCUCAGGCUGCCCCAGACAUGAGCAAACCCCCAACAGCCCAGCCGGACUUCCCCUAUGGUCAAUAUGGUUACGGGCAGGACUUGAGCGGCUUCGGCCAGGGCUUCUCAGACCCCAGCCAGCAGCCGCCCUCCUAUGGGGGCCCCUCUGUGCCGGGCUCAGGGGGUCCCCCCGCUGGUGGCAGUGGCUUCGGACGUGGGCAGAACCACAACGUGCAGGGCUUCCAUCCCUACAGGCGCUAGCCAGGGGGACGGCAGCAGGGCAGGAUUUGGGACUGGUGAACUCGUGACAAUCACACACUCGCUCGGGACAAAAUAAAUGACCACUCGACCUGGGGGGGAGGGGCAGCGAAGGCCGCGUCUGGACUGAGGUUUUAAAUAUAUUUCUUUUCUCUGACCCAUCAGCACAAUAAAAACACGUCACUGGUUCAACAACAGGGUUUAAAAAACGCCUUCAGCUUUAAUUCAGAAUUUCAGGUUUCUUUUUCUUUUCUUUUUUUUUUUCCUUUUUUUGAGAUUAUUUUCUUGAGCCUUUUGUUUUACCGUAUAUUGUAAACUUUUAUGUUAAAGAAAAAAUAUACAUUUACAAAUUGUGAGAUUUUUAAGAGAAAUUUUCUACGAUGUAUACUGGCUUAUUUUUUAAUUUAAAGCAGGGUUCGGGUGUGGGAAGCGGGGCCCUGGCUCCCGCCGGCGCGGGCUGGGGUGCGGGCAGAGACUACUGCGUGCGUUUGGUUUUUUGUUCAUUCCUUGCUUUGAGCGGCUUGUGUGGCUUCGAGUGCCACAGGGCCCCUGGCACAGGUGGCAGUGCUGAAGUCACGGGUGGCCUGGGCCCCACGUGGGUGGCAGGCAAGGCCUUGCUGGAGGCCCCUCAGUAGGGCCCAGGUUCCCACUGACCAGUUUGACCCGGUUUGAAUAAAGCAGCGUGUUUGGAUCAGAA